GGGCAGUGGUGCAGCGGUGAACACCUGAUCAGCCCCACAGUCCCUGCACUGUCCAACACUGCCGGUCCUUCCUCCUCCUGCAGCUCAGACUCCUCCUCAGCCAGGUUUCUGACGGGUUUAGCGGGCCUGAUUUGGCCUGCAGCCCACCAGUUGAUUACAGGACCAUCAAUCAUCCUGGAGUAAUUCACACCAUGGUGUUUGUCUGUGUCCACCUUCAUUGUUCAUUGUUCAUUGUUCAUUGUCUAUUAUGUUGAUGACGUGGAGUUGUUUUGUCUUCAUUUUUUACAGCGUGCUAACCCUGACGUCUCACUUCUCACGCGAUUUAAGGAGGAUUUAUGCUCAACAUCUGGGACCUGGGACCUGUUCAAGUCCUGCAGGUGUUUGUCCUCUUUUUUUAUUGUGUUUAUGGACAGAGUAAUAUUCAGCCUUUGGCUCAGUGGACGUGGAGUCUGAGGCAGACGUCGGAGGUUAGAACUAUAAAAAAUAUCAACUUUAGCAGUUGGUUCCAUCUUAACUUUCAUUUUUCUUCUUCUUCUUUUUCUUUUUCUUACCCGUCACUGAGACUCAUUUCAGACUGGAACGGACUGUCGUCACGGCUACGGCCCAGACUGCACCUCUCAUCACAGCAGAGCGAUGGGACCAGGACUGGACCUGAACGUCACAGACAUUAAAAAAGGUUCAACUGUCUGAGAGACGCUGUCUCUUGCAGUAGAUGACACACAGGACCAGCAGAGCCAGCAGCACCGUGGCCAGAGCGCUGCAGAUGACGGCGGCCAGGGCCAUGUCCCGCGGGCUGGUCACCACCGCGGGCAGAGGAACCAGGUUGACCCGCCCACCGCCUGAGGAGAAAGACGGAGGUCAGACGAACGUGGAGAAGAAGAGACAGACAGGAAGUGACAAGGACGAAUGAGGAGGUUUCUUCACACGCAAGUCAGCAAUGAAGUCCAGAGUGCGGCCAGGCGUUUCUCGGUCCAACACUGAGCGUAAACCGUCUGUGACCGUUGGACGCCGGCCGCAGACAUCAGGAGUGUGUUUUCACUUUCUCUCUGUUUUUGUUUCCCUCAUAUUUGACCUGACGUCGGCGUCGGGUGCAGCUCCACAGGCAGCGCCGCCCAGCGCUGAUGAGCUGCUGCAGUUGUUUGAAAUAUUUCUGGCUCCUGCUGCAGGUGGAGGAAAUGUUUUGGAAAUGUGGACAGUACAGUACAGCCAGUAGGUGGCAGUGAAAAGAUGGAGGCUGCAGUUAAAGAUUUGCUGUCAGACGUUCAGACCAACGCAGGUUUGACUCCCGGGUCACAACAUUUGACAGAUUUUACAAAAAUUCACUGAACUUCACUCAUCGAUCACAGUCUGUGUUUAUAGCACCCCCUGCAGAGAGGAAAAGGAGGAGCUCCAUGCUCUGUAUAGUUAAACAUUAACCCUCAUAAAACCUUCAUAUUCUACCUUACUUUUAAAACUACUCCAUGUUGUAAUGAAGCAGAGAUUGUUGUUAUUUAAGGUAAAAAACAAAAAGAGUUUGGUUGAAAAUCCAGAGAAGUGAGAGAGAAAAAAACCUGCUGGUGGUUUUGGUGCGGUGAGAGCAGAUCACAUGCAGCUUUGAAGAUCAGGAAGAUCAGAGGGAGAGCUGAGGCUGUGAAGUCUGUCGGAUCAUGUUUCCUCUCAGUGCCAUGAAAACCUGCGCUCUUCAUUUCCUGAUAUUUCAAAGAAAACACAACCGUGUACUCCACCGCGCGUUCGUCUGGGUGGGCGCCGUCGGAGCGGCUACGAGCUAACAAAGAUGAGAUUCUCUGACCUCAUCAGGACACCACCAGGGGGCGGGGAACUUUCGAACAUUUGGAAGCGUCACGUCCAGCUGCGUCCUCAGAGACUAAGGCUAGUUUGUCCCACUGAGGUCUGGCCACUGGUCCAACGGCUAACGUUUAUUACCAGUGGUGUCAAACAUAAGGGCUGCUGACCAGAACAGGCCCGUCUGAAGCAGGACUGUCGUGGCUAACGUUAGCUCGUGAACGUCGGCGUGCUCCAGAACCCUGUGAGUGAACACCCCCGGAGGUUUGAGGCCAGCAGCUUCCUGUGUCCCCGGAACCAUAGUGAGGCUCAUACGGAGGGGGGGGGUCCCCGCAGGGGACACACUCCAUGUCCUGGAAGCCACUGAGUUUGGUCUUCCUGUAAUAUCUGUAGAGCAGACAGUCUCCGCACACGGCGUUGCUGGUGGUGGAGCAGUUGCCCUUCUGGAGGCGGUUGAGGAGGCCACAGUCCAGGCAGGGCUUGCACUUCUGCAGACUCCGCUCCUCUUUGAAGCGGCUGCUCCGGCAGGGCACACACCGGGCAUCGUCGCCGUAACCAAAGCCACAUUCCUGCAGGGAUUAGGAGGAGAAGUGUAGCGGGGAAAAAGAACUGAACCGACGAUAAAGAACAGCAGAGCAGGACCAGGACCAGGACCAGGACCAGAGACCAGAACCAGGACCAGGACCAGGACCAGGGACCAGGACCAGGACCAGAGACCAGGACCAGGCCCCGUGGACUGGCACAACUUUGGUCCACAGGUCACCACAGGUGAGACGGCCAAUCACAGCAGAGGAGGUUGACGCCGGCUGAGACUCUAAGAUCAGGAGGGAAUCAAACCAACAUCUUAUCUCCGAGUAAAUCAGCAGCGUGACAGCCACAGGACUCACGGACACCGUCCUCUGUCCUCCGUCCUGGGGGUGUGUGUGUGUGUGUGUGUGUGUCGGAGGGAAACUUUACUCUCUCUCCACACACCAGAAGAUGUUGGCACAUCAAAGUUCAGUUCCUCCCCCUUUUUUUUUUUUUUUCCUUUUUCUUUUGCCACUGGCCGUUUUCCAGCAUUCAUUGGAACAAAAAUGUCUCCUUCAUGCUUGACACAACAUGCGACUCAGCAGCUGAGAAUGAAUGAACCUGAGAGGGAAACAAUGUUGACGAGAGAGAGAGAGAGAGAGAGAGAAGAGGUCCAUUUAAUGGCCGUUCCCUCUGUGUGGGUGGUUAUUUUGGCUGCACGGGGCCUGGUGCGGCUAACUGAUGUUUGUCAGUGUGUCUGUGAAAGGCGUCCAGAGGCAAACUGGGCCACAUUCCUCUGGGAUCUCUAUGGCAGCUGCACAGAGGGACUCCAAAUGUCUGCUUCUCUUCCAGCAGGCACUCCUGCCUUUCACAGCUCACAGAGAUUGUCUUGGUCUGACUGAGCUCUCUCUCUCUCUCUCCCUCUCUCCCUCAGUGCAGACCCCGCUCUCCCGCUACCUUCAGAGAAAGCCAAUUAUUAACCAGGAGCCCAGGGUGGAACAGGACGACUACUGGAGCAUGUUACCGACCACAGCGUGCAUGUCUGUGUGCACUCGGAUUAAAGCGAACCGGCGCUAAAUGCAUGUGUGCAACAGAUGUCAGGGUCGGGCCUUUGUUGUUUUUAACACCAGUCUUUAAAGUUGUAAAACACUAAAAAACAAAAUCAAAUUUGAACCAAUUUUAAUCUUGGUACUUCAAAAUUUUUUUCAUUUAAAGCUGGGUUUUCUUUCAGUUAUUUCUUGUUCGUGGUGAGACAUGAUCAGGGCUGCGGUGGUUAAGGAAGCAGCCUUGUGUCCGGAAGGUCAGGGGUUUGAUGCUGUGCUGUGCAUCAAUGCCAAUAACUCUAAUGUCUUUCUUCUUAGAAACUUUGUUAACACUUAGUUUUAUAAUUGUUUAUAAUUGUGAAAUUGUAAAUCACAUUAGAAUCAUGAUUUUCCAGUUUGAAUUAAUUGACUUAUAACGACUUAAACGAUGGACAUAGACGUAAUUUUAAACGACGUGUUCAUCUGUCUGUUUGUCACGGUUGUCGGUUCGACUUCCUGAAGCCGAGCGCUGCCGUUCACAGAUGCCACUUAAUGCAUCACGUGCACCUUCUCUGCAGCUCUAGGUGCAUCAUCGCCACCUACAGGGCUGUGGCGUGCGUCAUUGUUUUGUCUGUGGUUUCUGUCAGAGAGGAAAGCCCUUUCCUGACACCAGGAGGCCUGUUUGUACAGAGCUAAGACGUGGAAAAUACUUUGUUGAUUUGGAGAGAGCAGCAGCAGCAAGCUUAGGCACGGCCGCCGACAAACAGCGAAGACAAUCAGUUGGACGGAGUGCAACGGUGGAGAAACAAUGGAGGCCAUUCAUCGGCAGAAGGUCAAAAGCAUGGGUGUGACUGAUUAAAGGAGGGUCGGUGUUUGACGAAAGCUAAUAACAGCUGGGCCUUCCCCCGGUACGACGGAGAGGAAGUGAUAAAUAAUGUUGGUUCACUGGAGUCAAACACUGACCUCCGAGUGAAAGAGAAAGAAACAACGUUCCUUUCAUCCUGAUUAACGCUGUCGUUUACAGACGG
This is a long non-coding RNA of Cynoglossus semilaevis (tongue sole), 4339 nucleotides long. RefSeq lists it as uncharacterized. The transcript has 13 exons. The record is from RefSeq and is a predicted model, not a curated record. NCBI's taxonomy places the organism in Eukaryota, Metazoa, Chordata, Actinopteri, Pleuronectiformes, Cynoglossidae.